CUAGUUUUGCUCACACUCAAUUCUAACAUCACACAUCAGCACCAAUAACAUCAUUAUAUUAGGCAUUGAUAACACUACCGACCAACUAUGAUGCAUUGGAUCGUCAACAAAAAAUACUUGUUUGACUUGAGAAGCCAUAACAAAUUAGUCAUUUCUUUGUUCAAUUUUACUCAGAUCUACAAGGGUAAAUCCAAGUUCGUUGACUACAA
This 209-nucleotide long non-coding RNA is filed under the name Prunus persica (peach). RNAcentral describes it as "long non-coding RNA (PPER_LNC000651)". The record is from RNAcentral. Lineage: Eukaryota; Viridiplantae; Streptophyta; Magnoliopsida; Rosales; Rosaceae.